ACCCGCUGAGCAUUGUGGGGCCCGCUUGGAUCUCCUUGUCCAAAGGGUCUGGGCGCCGGGGCUGCAGUCUCUGGGUGAGGAGGCGGACGCGGGAAACCUGCUUCGGUCUCCAUGGUUACGAGCCGCUCAGCGCGCAGGAGGGGGAUUCAAAGGAAAUACGGAAGCUAAAAGGAAACUGCUGAACAGAAAACAAUGUCAACUAAAAAUACUACAAGCAAAAAACAUCACUGAGAAUGAAGGUGAGAAAAAGAUGUCCUCAGAGGAAGCAAAAAAUAAGAGAAUCUGUACCUAUCAGAACCACUCUAAAAGAACUAAAAAACGUCUAUCAGAGGAAGUGGAAAUUUGCAGAACGAAAUUUGGAAAAUAAUGAAGGAAGAGCAACAGAAAUGUGGUCUGUUUUGAGACAUGAGUUCGGAAACUUACACUGUGUGGAGCCUGACAAUGAAGCCAACAAUAUGGAAGGCGGGACGAAGACAUGGAGAAACAUUCCUCCCUUGUGAUGUUGUUUGAGCCCAUGAAUCAGCCUCCCUGGAGUCAGUCCCACAUCUCUUCCUUGAACUCGCCUGAGCCAUGACACUCUUGAUAAUUUCACUCCAUUUAAGUUGGACUUUCUGUCAUUUGCCACACAAGACUUUACACAGAUCCAGAGGACAUUGCAGAUUGCUGCCUUGGGUGAUUUUUAAAAUUAACGUGGACAUGAAGUCAUCAGGAGACAAGGAGUUCCAAACCUGGAUUUAUUGCUUACUAGAUGAUGGAAACUUGGUCCUCUCAGUGUUAACUCUAUUUUAUUUAUUUACUUAUUUAUUUAUUUAUUUUGAGACAAAGUCUCACUCUUGUCCCCAGGCUGGAGUGCGAUGGCACGAUCUCGGCUUACUGCAAUCUCCGCCCCUGGGUUCAAGCGAUUCUCCUGCCUCAGCCCCCCGAGUAGCUGGGAUCACAGGCAUGUGCCACCACGCCCAGCUAGUUUUUGUAUUUUUAGUAGAGGCAGGGUUUCACCAUGUUGGCCAGGCUGGUCUCAAACUCCUGACCUCAGGUGAUCCACCUGCCUCGGCCUCCCAAAGUGUUGGGAUUACAAGUGUGAGCCACUGCACCCAGCCAACUCUUUAUAUUAAAUAAUGUAAAUAAUUUUUUCUCUGCUAUAUACUAAUUCCAGUGUCCUUAACAGAUCCUUGGCUGAUAUCUGCUCUUCACUUUUACAACAGCCCCACCGUUCCCCACUUCCUAUUCAUUCCCAACCCACACUCAAUCAUCCACGCUGUUUUGAAGAGCCAACACAUUGUUAUCCAUCCUUUAAUAGUUACUCUUGCCUUUCCGUCUAAAGUCCAAAAUAUUUCAACUUUUAUUCUUGGACUUUCAACUGCCAGCUCUUGACUAUCCUUCUCAUGUCACCUUUACUCUGUCCCUCUAACAGUUUAAUUCACAGCCAUAUCAAACUACUUUAACUUAGAGUUCCCCAGACGCAAGAUAUUAAAUAUUUACCCCCAAUAAUUUGCUGUUGUAUGCUCUUUUGUGUCUACAUGAUGUCCUCACGCCCUUCUGGGACUAAAUCAUACUCAUUGUCUGUAUUUAUGACAUCAGUCAUUCUUGGCAGAUGACAAGGAUGGAAGGAAUGGAGCCUUGCUGAGAGAUGCUGUUACAGCAGGCAGCUCGUCAGAUAUGAGCAGGGCAGGAGAGGACUCCUCACCCCACCAGAAAUGUCAGGCAACCAUCAGGUGAUGGUCAGGCAGUUGUUACACCGUCUCUCUAAAAUAAUAAUUGGUUGCAGCCGGCACCAGGGAAAGGCCGUCUCCUGACAGAGAGAAAACACCUGAAACUGGUGAUCAGCAGCUUCCCAAUAAGAUCUCGGGAACUGGGCCAGUGGGCUCAAGAAUGUGCAUUAAGAGCAGAGUUUAACUGGCCUAUAACCUCUUACGGAGGUUGAGCUGGUAAGGGAAGAAUGCCUCAAGUGAGCAUGCGUAUGACUCCAAGAAACACACUGCGCAUGCUCCCCUUCCAAGCCCCUGCGGGCCACUAUGCAGGCGACCAGCCCACCCCAGGGGAAGAAUCAGGGAAGAAGGGAUGCAAGACCCCGGAAGUGUGCCAACAUAUUAAACCCCAAGUCAAAAGGUCAAACCGUGCACUUGUCUUUCAAGUCACCCCCUCGGCCGUCUUCCAAGUGUACUUUCCUCCUUCCUU
Homo sapiens (human) is the source of this 2175-nucleotide long non-coding RNA. Lineage: Eukaryota; Metazoa; Chordata; Mammalia; Primates; Hominidae. The record is from Ensembl.